Quercus lobata is the source of this 672-nucleotide long non-coding RNA. RefSeq lists it as uncharacterized. NCBI's taxonomy places the organism in Eukaryota, Viridiplantae, Streptophyta, Magnoliopsida, Fagales, Fagaceae. The transcript has 2 exons. The record is from RefSeq and is a predicted model, not a curated record.
CUUUGAGAGGUUUCUUAUUAUCUGAAAGUUGAGUAAUAAUGUAAAUGAUUGUGGGUGCAUAUCAAUGUUUCAGCUCUAUUUUAGAGCUUGGUCUUGUUACAUGGACUUCAAUUGUAUGAGCCAAUUCUUCAUCCUACCCUUGCAAAAUGAUUUAACUUCAUAUUAAAUGUAAGUUUUGAGCAGGAGAGAAAAAGAGAAAGAAAAAGAUGCUAUGCCACUUCGACAAGACACUAUCCAAAUAACAUUAUCAAUCUCCUAUCUAUUAUUUUGCAUCAAGAUUUGAUUGAAAAUUUUUCAAUCUUUUACUCCAUGAUUAAGUAAAUUAGUUAGUUAAAAUUGCAUAAGAUAGGCACACUAGCUCCACUAGGCUACUACAAAGCUUAUAGAACAAAACAUCAAACACAUGGUGUGCAUUUUUAGAACAAAUCAUCAAAUGUUGUUCAAAACUCCCAAAUGCAACAACCAAAAGCAGAUCUCCCACAAGCCAUCAUAUAUCCACCAAAUAAAGGAGGAAGAAAAAGAACUAACCUCAGGUUGCUACAGUUUAUCAAACAAACAAUAGGUUGCUACAGUUUAUCAAACAAACAAUAGGUUGCUGCAGUUUAUCAAAAAACCUCAGGUUGCUGCAGCCUGCAGUUUAUCAAAAAACACUCAGGUUGCUGCAAUUUAUCC